Molecule: transfer RNA, 85 nt
Filed under: Pseudomonas aeruginosa
Lineage: Bacteria; Pseudomonadati; Pseudomonadota; Gammaproteobacteria; Pseudomonadales; Pseudomonadaceae
Description: tRNA-Leu
Rfam family: tRNA
About the family: Transfer RNA (tRNA) molecules are approximately 80 nucleotides in length. Their secondary structure includes four short double-helical elements and three loops (D, anti-codon, and T loops).
Source: RNAcentral
GCGGACGUGGUGGAAUUGGUAGACACACUGGAUUUAGGUUCCAGCGCCGCAAGGCGUGAGAGUUCGAGUCUCUCCGUCCGCACCG